This 1575-nucleotide ribosomal RNA is filed under the name human gut metagenome. Its description in RNAcentral is "bacterial LSU rRNA". It matches the Rfam family "Bacterial large subunit ribosomal RNA", at positions 1343 to 2925 of the family's 2925-position model. The record is from RNAcentral.
ACCCAAGGUUUCCAGAGGAAGGUUCGUCCGCUCUGGGUAAGUCGGGACCUAAGGCGAGGCCGAAAGGCGUAGUCGAUGGACAACAGGUAGAGAUUCCUGUACCCGUAUAUAUGUGAAGGAAUGACGGAGAGAGGAAGCUGCAGCCAGCGGCUGGAAGAGCUGGUGCAAGCGAGAUAUCGGGAUGGCAGGCAAAUCCACCAUCCGAAACGAGAAGGCGUGAAGCGUACGGAAAGCUACGGCGAGUACGGAAGGCAGUGGAGGAACUUCCAAGAAAAGUUUCUAACGUUAAGUAUAUAUGGCCCGUACCGAAAAUGGACACACAUGGGUGAGGAGAGAAUCCUAAGGUGAGCGAGAGAACUAUAGCUAAGGAACUCUGCAAAAUGACUCCGUAACUUAGGGAGAAGGAGUGCUCAUAGAGAUAUGAGCCGCAGUGAAACGGCCCAAGCGACUGUUUACCAAAAACACAGCUCUCUGCUAAGCCGCAAGGCGAAGUAUAGGGGGUGACGCCUGCCCGGUGCUGGAAGGUUAAGGGGAGGGGUUAACGCAAGUGAAGCCCUGAACUGAAGCCCCAGUAAACGGCGGCCGUAACUAUAACGGUCCUAAGGUAGCGAAAUUCCUUGUCAGGUAAGUUCUGACCCGCACGAAAGGCGUAACGAUUUGGGCGCUGUCUCAGCUGUAGACUCGGUGAAGUCUUAGUACCUGUGAAGAUGCAGGUUACCCGCGACUAGACGGAAAGACCCCAUGGAGCUUCACUGCAGGUUGAUAUUGGGAUUUGAUGCAGCAUGUACAGGAUAGGUAGGAGGCAAAGAGAUGGAUACGCCAGUAUUCAAGGAGCCGCUGUUGGGAUACUACCCCUGUUGUAUUGGAUUUCUAACCGGACGACGUAGAGCCGUUGACGGGACAGUGUCAGUCGGGCAGUUUGACUGGGGCGGUCGCCUCCCAAAGAGUAACGGAGGCGCCCAAAGAUACCCUCAGCUUGGAUGGAAACCAAGCGCAGAGUGCAAAGGCAAAAGGGUGUUUGACUGCGAGACCCACAAGUCGAGCAGGGACGAAAGUCGGGCUUAGUGAUCCGGCGGUGCUGAAUGGAAAGGCCGUCGCUCAACGGAUAAAAGCUACCCUGGGGAUAACAGGCUGAUCUCCCCCAAGAGUUCACAUCGACGGGGAGGUUUGGCACCUCGAUGUCGGCUCAUCGCAUCCUGGAGCUGAAGUCGGUUCCAAGGGUUGGGCUGUUCGCCCAUUAAAGCGGUACGCGAGCUGGGUUCAGAACGUCGUGAGACAGUUCGGUCCCUAUCUGUCGUGGGCGCAGGAAAUUUGAGAAGAGCUGUCCUCAGUACGAGAGGACCGGGAUGGACGCAUCAAUGGUGGACCAGUUGUCACGCCAGUGGCAUAGCUGGGUAGCUAAAUGCGGAAGGGAUAAACGCUGAAGGCAUCUAAGUGUGAAACCCACUUCAAGAUGAGAUUUCCCAUUGCGCAAGCAAGUAAGACCCCUUAAAGACGAUAAGGUAGAUAGGUCAGGAGUGUAAGCAUGGUGACAUGUUAAGCGGACUGAUACUAAUAGGUCGAGGGCUUGACCGA